UGGCGGACGGGUGAGUAACGCGUGGGUAACCUGCCUCAUACAGGGGGAUAACAGUUGGAAACGACUGCUAAUACCGCAUAAGCGCACAGUACCGCAUGGUACGGUGUGAAAAACUCCGGUGGUAUGAGAUGGACUCGCGUCUGAUUAGCCAGUUGGCGGGGUAACGGCCCACCAAAGCGACGAUCAGUAGCCGACCUGAGAGGGUGACCGGCCACAUUGGGACUGAGACACGGCCCAAACUCCUACGGAAGGCAGCAG
RNAcentral lists this ribosomal RNA (258 nucleotides) under uncultured bacterium. RNAcentral describes it as "partial 16S ribosomal RNA". It matches the Rfam family "Bacterial small subunit ribosomal RNA", at positions 96 to 354 of the family's 1533-position model. The record is from RNAcentral.